GUUGUCGUGGCCGAGUGGUUAAGGCGAUGGAUUUGAAGUCUUUUGGGAUCUUCCCGCGUAGGUUCGAAUCCUGCCGGCGUCA
RNAcentral lists this transfer RNA (82 nucleotides) under Dreissena polymorpha. It matches the Rfam family "tRNA". Rfam says of the family: Transfer RNA (tRNA) molecules are approximately 80 nucleotides in length. Their secondary structure includes four short double-helical elements and three loops (D, anti-codon, and T loops). The record is from Rfam by way of RNAcentral. Lineage: Eukaryota; Metazoa; Mollusca; Bivalvia; Myida; Dreissenidae.